Coregonus clupeaformis (lake whitefish) is the source of this 1437-nucleotide long non-coding RNA. RefSeq lists it as uncharacterized. The record is from RefSeq and is a predicted model, not a curated record. Lineage: Eukaryota; Metazoa; Chordata; Actinopteri; Salmoniformes; Salmonidae. The transcript is spliced from 3 exons.
AAGUCGCUCUGGAUAAGAGCGUCUGUAAAAUGUAGGUACAUUUUAAUUGUCUCUCUUGCUGAUAAAAAAAUCGAUAUUAUCAGUGUAAAACAAUAUUAUUUUUAAAAAAACUAGCAAGAUAGUGAUAUAUUUUCUUUGUGGCUCAGUAAACAGUGACAGAGUUCGCGUUGAAAUAAAUGCUGUGAUGACUUCAGUCCUCGGAAGCAGUUUGCUGGAGUCUUCCAGGAUCUCGUCGCUUUUCAAUGUCCAGCGGCCACAAACCUAUCCAGAGGUUUCAUCCCAGUACACCCGGGAGGGAUGAUGCAGUCUGAGCGAAUGCCAGAGAAAGAUAAGAUGGAGAAAGAAAUAGAGAAUGAGAAAGAGAGAGAGAGAUGCAGACCCCCAAGUACAAAAUAAGCCUAUAGACAAUGUGUUACCUGCCCACUAGGUAAUGAACCUUCAGUGGCACCAGCAAGGUUUGUGUGCUGAUCUAGCUGCAACGUGGAGGAGGUUGUAAGUGGACAAGAGUUCAGACUAGCAGAAACUCUCAAAGCUGGCCCUGGAUUCACCCUGCAUCAGUGGUACAUUUAAACAGUGUUAUCAACCCGAACACUAAAAUGGUCCAUGCUACCGCGCCAUGAAUGUCCUUAUCCACGUGUAACAUUUCAAGAAAACGUGUGAAGACGGGAAUAUUAACUGCGCUGCUUGGAUAUGACUACAUCUUAGUCCUAAAGCUUUAUGAAAUAUCAGCGCUCUUGUCAGAGAGGUUGAAUGGGACAAAGCUAAAUGAAAGGUGUCCAUUAAUCAUUAAUUGUACUAAAAGCCUGGCCCUUUGUAUUCCCCUUGGUGCCUGGGUUAUCUGGCGGCCAUGUGACAUGCUGCGCCUUUUCCUAGUAGAUUGGGGAAAGCCAGUGAGCAAACACAGGUGUUUUGGAGUCAGUGGCGCUCACUGUCAAGGACAACCGCAAACACGAGCAGUAAUGCCUGAUCCAAUGAGACACAGUGUUUGCCUGCUGCUUCCUGGUGAUCCAACAUUUCAUGUCCAACUGGAUCUGCCGACUGCCCCCCACAUUCGUAACUAUCCACACUGUGCAUUCGAAUGCGUGAAGGAAAAAAAGAGAAAAGAGAAAUUGGAAAAGAGCAGGGGAGCAGGCACAGGCAUGCUGUCUUUUGAAAUGGGAGCUCGAUGGGGGUGAGCAAACUAAUUUAUGGUGUAAAAGCCCUCACUUUGGAAAACAAUACAAAUGUAUUCUUCUCAAGUGGGGCUAUAUCCGUGAUCCCUUGUGGCAAAUGAAUGAAGCAGUCACCAGAGCCACCCACAUGGUUUGGAAGGCUCGAUAGUGUAAAACAAACAUUGCUCACAGGUCAAUACAAAUACAUAAACACUGCCUUCAGAAAGUAUUCACACCACUUGACAUUUUGUUGUGUUACAGCCUGAAUUUAAAAUUGAUAAAAUUU